GGGAUUCCUCUGGCAGAAGUUGUUGUGUAAAACUAAAGGUUUAUUCACUAACUAAAUCAUACUUCAAAUGUUCAGUAAUUAUUUCCUGAGCCAUUCAGUAAAGAAAUUCAACAGGAAAUUGGCUACCAGUGCAUUCAGACUGAAUUUUUAUUCCUCUUUGGAAAACGUUGUCAUAUUACAAACACUGAGGAUAAUGAAUGUGGCUCUGAGUUUGACUUUUCAAAAUCCAAAAUGAAAAGAUAGACCACAAAGUGAGAAAAACCCUUGCUCAUCAUGCAAAUGGACAGAGGGGAAGAAGGGAAAAGUCAGACCCAAGAGGAGUUUGUGAUAUAUUUGUGAAAUUAGACUUUCCUUACAAAAGGUCUCUUGCACCAUUUUAAGUAUUGCUUUAAAAUGAAAUUCGAAGAUUCCAACUGAUGAGUAUGUCUUCUGUCCCUGAGCCACCAGAGAGGUGAUGUGAUGGAAUCACAGACGUGACUUAUGAGCAGUAAACAGACAAAUGUUUAUGUGGCAGACUGACUCUACGGUGUCCCAGUGAUCCCCAUCUCCAGAUUGUAACUUCCAUCUUGCAAGAUUCUCUCCCUUCCUUGCUCUGAAGAAGCAGUCACCAUGAUGGAAGGCCCAUGCUGCUGAGGACAGCCUCUGGGAACUGAGACAACACACAACCAGAAACUGGAGCCCUCCAGCAUACAACCUCAAGGAACUGAAUUCUGCAAACACUCGAGCCUUCAGAUGAGAACAUGAGCCUGUCUGAUGCCCUCACUGAGGACUUACAGAGACCCAGCCAAUUUACAACUGGACUCUUGACCCAUAGAAACUGUGAGAGAGUCAAUGCAUGCUCUUUUACGCCACUAAGUUUGUGGUAAUGCUGUCAUGCAGCAAAUGAAAUUAAUACAGCUUGAUUUUCAUAAUUGGGCAAAACAAUUUCGUAAAGUAGAGUAACUUUUAGCUUCAGUUGUAACAAAAAAAGACACAUUUUCUUAGUCUAAUUAAUAAAGUUGUAAUUUCCCUCUAAAUAAGCUUUACUUUUAUAUUCAAAAUACCACCUGUGGUAAUUUUAUGAUGCCAGUCAUUUUAUAUAAUAUACUUUUCCAUUUUGAAAUACACCAGGUAA
RNAcentral lists this long non-coding RNA (1114 nucleotides) under Equus asinus (donkey). RNAcentral's name for it is "lncRNA (ENSEASG00005036800.1)". Lineage: Eukaryota; Metazoa; Chordata; Mammalia; Perissodactyla; Equidae. The record is from RNAcentral.